UGUUGCAGUGGAGCGUGAGCCGCGGCUGCGGCUCCUGGUUCUUGUGGAAGCACCGACCAUGUGCCGAGAGCUAACUGUGUCAAGAAGAGCAUGCUUCAGUUGGCUGGAGUGAGCAAUUCAACUUGUGGAGGAGUGAGAAAUGUUAGUGUUGAGACAAGAAACGUAAAACCCCAGGGUAAGGUAGGAAUCAGUGAAAGGCAGAGGAACUGCCGUCCAGUAAUGAGUUAGGCUUUGCUGGCUUCUGGCCCUACAGAUGACUCUUUGGAGAGGAAAAAAUUAAGCUAGGCCCGAGGGCACAGAUCCUAAGGGAAUGCUGGCAGCCUAGGCUGUCUAUGGAAGAGAAGCAGAGGGUGGCACCUGGUUGAAAGAGGGGGUUGGGGGACAGAGCUUGAGGCUGUGUUUACAGAUGGAGUCCUCUGAUUCCUGUGACUGGGGAAGGAGAUCGUGCUGGAUCAGGGCACCUCAAAUCAGAACUCUUCCCACCCACACCCCUUCUUUUCAGGGCGUCUUUCAUUGCAAACAGUAGAUAAACUAGUUGGAAAACUCAGCAGAUUCUCACGGUGGUGCCUAGCAGGCCAGGCCUAGCUGCCGUUUAAGCUGUGACUGAGGGUGAUGCCACUGGCCUGUAAACACACAUUGGACAAUCUUUACGUCCGUGGACACGCCAUGCCCCACAGAGACAGCUGUGCAUGGUUCUUUAGGUUUGGGGUGCUGUGCUGGCAGUUGCCUGAUAAAUGUGUAGGAUUAAAAUGGGAUGCCCUGGAGCUUAGCUAACCUUUAUCCCCCCUCCCCCCUCUAAAAUGAAGGGGCUGCUAGUUUUGUUUGCUUUAUGAAAGAUGGAUCUGUUAUUGUUUUUAGAACCUUUGGAGAAAGAUUUGUUGGGAGGAAGCGAUCCUGAACCCCCAG
Molecule: long non-coding RNA, 906 nt
Filed under: Homo sapiens (human)
Lineage: Eukaryota; Metazoa; Chordata; Mammalia; Primates; Hominidae
Description: HSALNT0226066
Source: RNAcentral